CAUGCACAAGUCUACUAUAAUGUUUAUAGUGGGGCAUCUUUGAUCAUUUCUCGAGAAGUACUUUAUACCUUUAAACAGCUUUUUAAGUAGCUGCUUUGUGUUUUUUGUUGCAUUUGUAUAUACUGUAUAACAUAUGUAAAAAUAAAAACAUUGUUAAUAUGACUUUCAACUCAUUGAGUUAUCUAGGAAAAAAGUAAAAAUAGG
This is a non-coding RNA of Pelobates cultripes (western spadefoot toad), 204 nucleotides long. The record is from the annotation of a GenBank genome assembly. Lineage: Eukaryota; Metazoa; Chordata; Amphibia; Anura; Pelobatidae.